GACAUAGGUGGCGAACGUUAUCCGGAAUUAUUGGGCGUAAAGGAUGCGUAGGUGGUAGAAUAAGUUAUUGGUCGAUGCCAAACUCAAUUUGACGGAAGCUGGUAAUACUGUUCUGCUAGAGGGCAGGAGAGGUUGAUGGAAUUCUGUGUGGAGCGGUGAAAUGCGUUGAUCUACAGAGGAACACCAAAAAAGGCGAAGGCAGUCAACUAGUCUGUUCCUGACAUUGAGGCAUGAAAGCGUGGGGAGCAAACCGG
Molecule: ribosomal RNA, 254 nt
Filed under: uncultured bacterium
Lineage: Bacteria
Description: partial 16S ribosomal RNA
Rfam family: Bacterial small subunit ribosomal RNA
Source: RNAcentral